UUAUGGGUAUAGUAGGGAUUUUCGGUUGUUGUCACCGGGUACAGUCACCGGUUUCUUUUUUACUUUAUGUUCAUUUUAACCAAACUAUACAAUACAUGUGUUAUUUAGCUAGCUAGCUUAUCUAGCUACUAUGCUGAAAAAUUCCAAAGGGUUAAGAAAAGUUAAAUAUGUUACUUUACAGUAGCUAGCUAGUUAAGUAGCUAGCUAAAUAGAUUAACUAAAUUAGUUAACUAAUGAACAAGCAGUCUGUUAGCUAGUUAGCUUAGCUAGCUACGUUAGUAACUAACAUAAUUAAGUCAAAUAACAAUGAAAAAUAUAGCAUUAAUAAAACUAAAUCUGGAUUUGCUGUUAUGCAAAUGCUGUUAUGGUAACCUAGCAAGCUAGUCACUGUUCUUGUGUGAACUAACUAGUUUAGCUAGGUUAGCUGUGGUUAGCUAGCUAUGCUGUUAGCUAACCUAGCUGUUAGCUUAGCUAUGUAAUGUUAGCUAGUUGUUUAUACGUUGGAAAAUCAACAACAACAAAAAAAUCAACAAGGGGGCAGUGGUUACCUGCAAAUGUAAUUAAUUAUUUAUUUCUUAAUUUAAUAAAUUAAUAUAGUAUUUUUUUAUAUGCUGUACUAUUUAUUGUCUACUGUAGCAAUUAAACUACUGGCUGCAAAUUAGCUAUAGCUAUUUAUACAUAUUAAGACUUGAUGUGAGCAAAUUUGUGGAAAGAAACAGAACUGCAGGCAUUACAAAAGUGACUGAAAGUGGCUUAUGAGGAGCUGGGUUAUAUUGUUGGCUUAAGUUGUUGGAAAUGGAAAACUGCUGCAUGUCUAUGCCAUGGCUUUGUACGAAGAUAAAUUAGCUAAAAUGGCUUUCGUGGAGGUGGGAAGUAAGAAGUUUGAAAUUUUGGAGUUCCCAUAUGUUGUUUGCCAAUUGCAUACUCUUCCAAAUAAAGUCAGCAGGAGGAGAGGAUGUUGGUCUAAUUAGCAGCAAAAGAAUCUACCAUCUCCUCAGCACCUGUCACUGCGGGCUCAACUCUGCCGCCUGGUGGCUGGGGACAGGAAAUGAAUGUUGGAGUGCCCCUGCAUUGCUUCUGUGUAUAGUCAUGUCAUAUUUAUAUGGACACUAGAGGGUGCUCAGGGCACACUCAUGCUCAUACUAUGCUUGAAGCCAUACAACAAACCUGGGUCUAAAGAAGGCCAGAGAUGACGUUCCAACCUGCAAGAAAAUUCAAUGGGAUUUCUGAAAUCAACAUCAAAGACCAGAAACUCAUGUUGCCUGCUCCUGGAAGCAAAUGCCAAGACCACAUAUGAAACCUCUGUCCCCUUUAGGGGUCAUGAAAAAAGCAAGAUGUGGAACUCCCAUUCAUUCACAAAUGCUAGGAGACAUUUUACUGUCCUUAUUUACAACAGCAAAACAAUAAGCCAAUACACAGCUAGAAUACGCAAGGUACGUGUGUCUGAGACCUGUCUUUCCUUUUAUGUGGCUCCAAUGGGAGUUUACCUAGAAACCUAUUUGAAGUCAUUGUGCUUCCAUUCUUUUUGUGUAGUGGGCCGAAAUUUCAACGAGUGGUGAUAGUUCGCAACUACCUGUAAUAGUGGAGUACACCCUGUAAAAAGGGCACGCUGAAUGUCUGCCCGCUACGAAUAACAAUAAGCACAAUUUCCCAGUUUGCAUUGUGCUCUGUAGUCAGUGAGUGUGAGCGGGACUCUUUCUCAGUCAGACAGGGCAUUUCUUUCACUCUUCAGGUGGCACUUUACAGCUCUUUAAAGUGAAAGCAAUGAAAGGCUGUAACCGGCCAGGAGUUAUUAAGUGUUCUUGAAGGCAAGCGAUUUAACCUCUAAUGGUCUGGGUCAUCUGCUUGAGAUGAUCACACUUCCUAAUUACUUUUCGGAUUGUCGCUUGUGUUUUAGGAAUGAACACUUUAGUUAAACAGUGUUUUAGUAAGCCAUGCGCAGUAAUGGUUAACUUAUUUAUGAGCUGCCCUUCUGUGACGUCCCGUCAGAAGCCAAACGACCGGCGUAGAUGAGUUUAGUCGAUGAACCUGCGACGAAUUGGUUUCGGCGGCCUGUUAGCUGUGGUAGUGAUGCAUUGGCAGAUGCAGUCUGUGAUAAGUCGUAAUGGUGGGAGCGCCUCAGUUUGGGAAUGCACGUGGCCACAGAGUGUAGCAGCUCUGUGCUGUGAAGUCUGGAUCUAAUUAACACGGCCAAAUGGGCAUUCCCACUGCAGCAGGUGCUGAAAAAAUGUCCUAAUUGUGUAACGAUGAAUGGUUUGUGUUAAGAGGGGACAUCAUCUGUUGGCUAAGUGUGUGUGUGUGUGUGUGAGCAUGUGUAUUGUGUGUAUGUGUGUGUUAUGAGUGCAAGUAUGCAAGUCUGUAUGAAAAAGUUGAUGGGGGGGCUGUGGGGGUGGAUGGAGGGUGGGUCACAACAAGCAUCACUCAUUUACAUCAUGUAAUUUAACAGUAUAUAAAGGUACAAGAAAAAUAAAUAAGUGGUAUACAGUUUAACCCCAUUCUCAAAAAGGUGCAACGCUGUGUAAAAUGCAGAUAAAUAUGAUCUACAGUUCCAAACUUUUGUUGCUCUAAAUGAGUUAUCGUUUUCCAAGAAAUAUAUUGUGUCUCGCUUUCAUCAUCUGAUAUGUUUUCUAUGUUCUAUAGUGAUUAAAAUAUGUCGCUAUCAUUGCAUUUUGUUUUUUCCUUUAGAUAGAUUUACAUUUUACACAGCCUCUUGACAUUUCUGGAAUUAAGGUCGUACAUGCAGAACCGCGGCCAGGCCCUUGUGAGUCGAACAUUAGAACAAAAACACUAGAACACACCUUGGCUACACUUAGGCACAGCACAUUAAAUCAAUCUAACACACAGUAAUGUGUACCACAGGGAGAUCUGGAGUAUGGGAGGUGAAUUAGCACCACAGAAUGUGUGUGUGUGGUACGUUGGUUUUUAAACAGUUUUAGGACAAAAAAAAAUUAGGGCUUUUUUGGGAAAAAACUUGAGAGUGUAAGAGUGUAGGAUUGGACUUGCAGCAUUCUGGCAUUACGUAAAAACAAGUGUGUGUGUUUGUGAGUGUGUGUGUGUGUGUGUUUGUCCUUGUGUGUGUGCAAACUUCAGUCUCCAGUGUAGAUCAGUGCGCAACUUAGAAGCUCCUAAGUGUUUGCUUAUCUCCUUCCAUGAGCCAAAGCAAACUAAACCGAAGCAUCUGAAACGCAUUUUGCCGACCCUUGUUCCUCCCUUCUUUGAUAUCUGUGUCAGCUUAGGCAGAGUGAAAUCUGUCUUGUUGAAACCAAGCAGGGGUGUGGAGGAAGCUUUUCGGCUGUCCACUGUUUGCCUUCCAAGUCCUUUGUGUUAAAACAGAUGUUUAUCACCCUCCCGGCAUGUCGGAGGAAUCUCCAGACAAUUUGUCAAAAUCAUCUUUUUUGGAUGUCCGUGACUUGCAAAGUAGCGGACAGGUUGUUUUUACAGCAGUCAUGACAGCAGCCAUUGUAUAAUAGCUACUGUUCUGAAGCCUUAGCACAGCAGGGAUGGAAAGCCCAGAAUAAGGAAGCCCACAGAAUUGUCAGUUUUCCUUCUUGUCCCUCAUCUAAAUCUCCAUAAUUGUUUCUGGUUCUGGACACAUUUCACAUCACCGUUCCACUCAAACAGGCCGUUGAGUAGGAUUCUAAAGCUUCAGACAGCAUGAAGGCGAAGGUCCCUCGUUUUGGUAAGAGAAGGGGUUGAGAGCAAAUCAUUUCCCGCUCUAUUUGUACAAAACAAUUUCCCCAAAUAAUCACUUUUUUCCUCUCUUUAAUUUAAUGAUGUGUCCCUUUUGUGAGGCAAGGGACACAUCCCAAGUGACUACACAGACUCAUUGUAAUACUCCCAGUUCACUUUUUCAAAGUAAGCCUAAUAACAUGUCUUUAUACCCAGCAGGGGCCUUUUCAUGUUGUAUUUAUGAGCUAGCUGCGCUUUACAUAUUCAUUCUCAGGGUGUUAAACAAUUGCCGGCGGGUUGCCUCUCUGUCCCCAAAGCUUUUGCAAAGCCACCUACCACUCUGGGUCACAGCUGUGGGACUGGACUGGCGCAUCAUUCAACCGGUGGAUGACAGGACUUCGCCACUCUACUGCUACUCCUUAACCACACUGACUAGUUGCAACAUGUAAAAUACACUCUAGCAUAGUUUAUUACACUGUAGCUGUAGACUGCAGUUGGGGAUCCUUGUUAGGACUGUCUCUUUUUUAGCAGUCUACUGGUCACAAAAAAUAAAUGUCUGAAGAUGCUUUGUGGCAACAUCACCAAAAAGAUCCUACCCCUAGCAAGUUUGAAGCGUGAAAUGUAUAUACUUGUUCAUUUCUUCACAGAAAUGGAUUAUAAUUGUUAAAACUAACAUUUUAAAAUGAUCUCUGCUCCUGAAUAGUAGGUUUUCCUAAUUUUAUCAUAUUGCGUUUUUUUUUAUUUUUCCCUUUGGGUAAUUCAGGGUCUGGAAGGAUACAUCAGUUGUGUCCUCAAAGUCUCAAAGUUCUCUGAACAUCAGACUGUAUGCAGCAAAGGGCUCUUCAGGUCCUUUGGAACAGCCUUCUAUGACGUACCAGCCGUGAAGUGUACUCUACUUUGACUGCAGCAUAGGCUUUGAAACAUCAGAACCAAAAUGAAUAGAUUUUGACUGUCUGCGCUUAGACUUUGUGUUCUUGGACUUCUUGGAAAAAGAGUAUAGUAGAGCAAUUUCAAAUUUUUAAUGUUUUCUUUUUUCUUUUCUUGUUUUCUCAUUAAGGAAUUGGAAAUAUUCUUUAGAGAACCUAAAGCACUUCUCUUUAUUUUUCUGAGCGUGUAUCUGUCGCCAAGUUCUCCUUAAGGACUGCUUCAUAGGGGACACAGUGACGUGAAAGCGACAUCCACAAACACGCAAACGGAGGCCAGGAGACGCUCUAGCCCGGUCUGGCUGAAGGCUUGGAGGGGGUGGGCUGCUGUAACAGCGCAGGCUUCAGCUUUACAGACCUCGUUGAACACAAACAGGGCAUCCCCAGGCUCCGGGAAACAGGCAGGCUGAUAGAAGGCCAGUGAUUGAUAAGUCUCCCCUGCUAGCACUUCGACAGCUCAUGUCGAGGAUCCAGUGAGUUUCGUAUCAAAUGUAUCAACUGCUCGCCAAAACAGCUCUUAUUUCAAUGACUACCCCCCUCCACCCCAUUCCCCCUCCCUGUCGCCAUUGCCAAUACAUCAAAACUCCCAUUCAGCCUCUCCAUUUGUUAUCCGCAUCUAUUUCCUGUCAAUAUAGUGUCAGUAAUAAAUCAUGUCCUGAUAAUGAUGGAAAGCCAUAAA
Astyanax mexicanus (Mexican tetra) is the source of this 5271-nucleotide long non-coding RNA. RefSeq lists it as uncharacterized. The transcript is spliced from 5 exons. The record is from RefSeq and is a predicted model, not a curated record. NCBI's taxonomy places the organism in Eukaryota, Metazoa, Chordata, Actinopteri, Characiformes, Acestrorhamphidae.